This 373-nucleotide ribosomal RNA is filed under the name uncultured organism. Its description in RNAcentral is "bacterial SSU rRNA". It matches the Rfam family "Bacterial small subunit ribosomal RNA", at positions 526 to 896 of the family's 1533-position model. The record is from RNAcentral.
CGUAGGGCGCAAGCGUUGUCCGGAAUUAUUGGGCGUAAAGAGCUCGUAGGCGGCUUGUCACGUCGGGUGUGAAAGCCCGGGGCUUAACCCCGGGUCUGCAUUCGAUACGGGCUAGCUGGAGUGUGGUAGGGGAGAUCGGAAUUCCUGGUGUAGCGGUGAAAUGCGCAGAUAUCAGGAGGAACACCGGUGGCGAAGGCGGAUCUCUGGGCCACUACUGACGCUGAGGAGCGAAAGCGUGGGGAGCGAACAGGAUUAGAUACCCUGGUAGUCCACGCCGUAAACGGUGGGAACUAGGUGUUGGCGACAUUCCACGUCGUCGGUGCCGCAGCUAACGCAUUAAGUUCCCCGCCUGGGGAGUACGGCCGCAAGGCUA